ACGAAGAAGGCUUCGGGUCGUAAAGUUCUUUUCUUAGGGAAGAAAAAUGACGGUACCUAAGGAAUAAGCACCGGCUAAAUACGUGCCAGCAGCCGCGGUAAUACGUAUGGUGCAAGCGUUAUCCGGAAUCACAGGGCGUAAAGGGUGCGUAGGUGGUUUUACAAGUCAGAAGUGAAAGGCUACGGCUCAACCGUGGUAAGCUUUUGAAACUGUAAAACUAGAGUGCAGGAGAGGAAAGUGGAAUUCCUAGUGUAGAGGUGAAAUUCGUAGAUAUUAGGAGGAACACCAGUGGCGAAGGCGACUUUCUGGACUGUAACUGACACUGAGGCACGAAAAGCGUGGGGAGCAAACAGGGAUUANUAUACCCUGNNUAGUCCACNCCGUAACGAUGAAUACUAGGUGUCAGGGGGUCGAANCUCGGUGCGCAGCUACGCAUUAAGUAUUCCNCCUGCGGAGUNCGGUCGCAAGA
Molecule: ribosomal RNA, 469 nt
Filed under: uncultured bacterium
Lineage: Bacteria
Description: bacterial SSU rRNA
Rfam family: Bacterial small subunit ribosomal RNA
Source: RNAcentral